ACUCCUACGGGAGGCAGCAGUGGGGAAUAUUGCACAAUGGGCGCAAGCCUGAUGCAGCCAUGCCGCGUGUUGAAGAAGGCCUUCGGGUUGUAAAGACUUUCAGUGUGAGAGGAGGUGUGUUAAUAGCAUACUCAUUUGACGUUAGCUGCAGAAGAAGCACCGGCUAACUCCGUGCCAGCAGCCGCGGUAAUACGGAGGGUGCGAGCGUUAAUCGGAAUUACUGGGCGUAAAGCGCAUGCAGGUGGUUUGUUAAGUCAGAUGUGAAAGCCCGGGGCUCAACCUCGGAAUUGCAUUUGAAACUGGCAAACUAGAGUACUGUAGAGGGGGGUAGAAUUUCAGGUGUAGCGGUGAAAUGCGUAGAGAUCUGAAGGAAUACCGGUGGCGAAGGCGGCCCCCUGGACAGAUACUGACACUCAGAUGCGAAAGCGUGGGGAGCAAACAGGAUUAGAUACCCUGGUAGCUACGAGU
Molecule: ribosomal RNA, 468 nt
Filed under: uncultured bacterium
Lineage: Bacteria
Description: bacterial SSU rRNA
Rfam family: Bacterial small subunit ribosomal RNA
Source: RNAcentral